Saccostrea cuccullata (small rock oyster) is the source of this 674-nucleotide long non-coding RNA. RefSeq lists it as uncharacterized. NCBI's taxonomy places the organism in Eukaryota, Metazoa, Mollusca, Bivalvia, Ostreida, Ostreidae. The record is from RefSeq and is a predicted model, not a curated record. The transcript is spliced from 3 exons.
GAGACGUAUAAGAGAGGGACCGCUGACUCAUUUUCGCGCCAAAUUAUCUUCAUGUUUUCGCAGCGCCCUCACCGGGAGGCAUAGAAAGACUUCCGGUCGUAUUAGCUGCAGUGUUUUCAUCGAAGACUUUGGGGUAUGUCAGAAAUCACUCUUCUCAACAGCAGACACAGAUUGCAAGCAGAGGAAAUGAAGAAUGCAUAAAUUUUUAUGGGUGAAUUUAUCCUGACCACCAUAAAUCUAUUUAAGUAACAGUACCUCUCUUGAUUGAUUCUACAAGAUUCUGAAGUUGUUUUCCCAAAAGACCUUGACCUGCUUCAUAAGGGUGUUUUAAGUGAGAUCUAAGGAUGAAUAAGACAACAAAUAGUUGUUCAGUAAGCUGUAAAGCUUAAAAUUGUGUUGCUGCAUAAAAUAUAGCCACGCUCAAAAUGGCACUGAAACAAACAUUGACAUGUUGUGUGGUUUUUCAACAAUACUGCAAAUGAAUAAGAAAUAAUAUCAGAAACUUUUAUGUUUUUUCUGAACCAUCUCUCUCCAUGGUAUUUGUAAAAAAAAAAAAAAAGAAUUAAGACCUCCAAGAAUUUAAUUAAUGAAUAUUCUUUCCAAACAUUUUCCCACUCCUUGGACUGUAAAUUCUGAGUAAAGAAAUGUGUGAUGAACAUUUCAAAUUUCUAUGU